CUCGGUGUGGCUACAAGAGAGAAAUAAAGGAACGCUGGAUCUUAAGAUCAGCGAACAUUCGACGCGCAACCGCUGAACUGUCUACAAGUAACGAAUCAGGCUAAAGGGAGAGACAGUGAGAAAAGCAGCAAAACAUGACGAAACUGUGGCUGCGGUGCAUCCUUGCCUUUCAUAUGGCCUUCCUCAUCCUGGCUGUGGCCAACUGCCAAUUUGAGGAUGAUGAGGAUGAUGAGUUAUCAUCGGAUGAUGCCAGUUUGACAAGCGAUUACGAUGAAGAAACACCGGAGACGGAAACAUCGGAAUACACCGAUAACCGCAUUGACGCGGCACCUACGUUCGUCUCGCCAGUAGAGAAAUUCAUUAGAGCUAUCACCGUUUCUUUCGGAUGGAUAACUCAAACAACCAGCGCUCGAUCUUCCGUCGAUCGAAAUUUUUCCGAAACAUCGAGAAUCUUUCAUGGGUUUCCCAAUAUUUUCGCUGAAACUACCGACAGAUCCGAUAGAAGUGGCUUUAGCGAUGUACUAAACAUGAUCGGCGACAGGUUCAAGGCUGUUUAUCCAGGUACGGAAUGGUGCGGCGCAGGAAAUGUCGCGAAAAACGCAGGCGAGAUUGGCCUGUUUAAGAAAACCGAUAGCUGCUGCAAAGAGCACGAUCAGUGUAAUGUCAGCUUGGAAGCGGGCACAUCCGAGCGCGGUUUGCGAAACAACGGAAUUUUCACCAGGUCUCACUGUCUGUGCGAUGCAAAGUUUUAUUAUUGCUUGAAGGAAGCUCGCUCGAUAGUGGCUACAAAUAUUGGCGUCACCUACUUCAACAUCCUCAGGCCGCAAUGCUUCAAGUACGAGCACCCAGCGCUUUGCGCCAAGUAUGGAAGGUACACUUAGACAGUUAACAUUUGCAGUCCCAUACACUCCGUUAACAUUCAAGUUUAUUUUUCUUACCAUCACUAAACUUCAGAGCAGACUGAGGAACAAUAAAUGUUUAACGUACAGUUACAACUAUUUUCUAACAAAAACGUGGCAGUGGUUUGAUAGCCCAGAUUUUUUGUAAAUCACUUCACAUUGUACAUAAGCACUUUU
Phymastichus coffea is the source of this 1076-nucleotide RNA transcript. RefSeq lists it as uncharacterized. The record is from RefSeq and is a predicted model, not a curated record. The transcript has 5 exons. NCBI's taxonomy places the organism in Eukaryota, Metazoa, Arthropoda, Insecta, Hymenoptera, Eulophidae.